Molecule: ribosomal RNA, 465 nt
Filed under: uncultured bacterium
Lineage: Bacteria
Description: partial 16S ribosomal RNA
Rfam family: Bacterial small subunit ribosomal RNA
Source: RNAcentral
GACGAACGCUGGCGGCGUGCUUAACACAUGCAAGUCGAACGGAAAGGCCCUGCUUGCAGGGUACUCGAGUGGCGAACGGGUGAGUAACACGUGGGUGAUCUGCCCUGCACUUCGGGAUAAGCCUGGGAAACUGGGUCUAAUACCGGAUAGGAGCCAUUUUUAGUGUGAUGGUUGGAAAGUUUUUUCGGUGUAGGAUGAGCUCGCGGCCUAUCAGCUUGUUGGUGGGGUAAUGGCCUACCAAGGCGGCGACGGGUAGCCGGCCUGAGAGGGUGGACGGCCACAGUGGGACUGAGAUACGGCCCAGACGCCUACGGGAGGCAGCAGUGGGGAAUGUUGCACAAUGGGCGCAAGCCUGAUGCAGCGACGCCGCGUGGGGGAUGACGGCCUUCGGGUUGUAAACUCCUUUCGCUAGGGACGAAGCUUUUUGUGACGGUACCUAGAGAAGAAGCACCGGCUAACUACGUG